UGAUAGUGAUGAGGACAAUUUCUAAGCAUGCCUUUAAAUCUCUCCCAAGCUUGGUAGAGAUUUUCUCUAUCUUUCUAUCUAAACUCAAGAUCUCACUUCUUAAUCG
Molecule: small nucleolar RNA, 106 nt
Filed under: Capsicum annuum
Lineage: Eukaryota; Viridiplantae; Streptophyta; Magnoliopsida; Solanales; Solanaceae
Description: Plant small nucleolar RNA R71
Rfam family: Plant small nucleolar RNA R71
About the family: R71 is a member of the C/D box family of snoRNAs containing the C (UGAUGA) and D (CUGA) box motifs. Multiple nearly identical copies of this snoRNA have been identified in Arabidopsis, and it is thought to function as a 2'-O-ribose methylation guide for 18S ribosomal RNA.
Source: Rfam by way of RNAcentral